AUUGAACGCUGGCGGCAUGCCUUACACAUGCAAGUCGAACGGUAACAGGACUUCGGAUGCUGACGAGUGGCGAACGGGUGCGGAAUACAACGGAACGUGCCCGAUAGUGGGGGAUAACGGAGCGAAAGCUUUGCUAAUACCGCAUACGAUCUACGGAUGAAAGCAGGGGACCGCAAGGCCUUGCGCGGACGGAGCGGCCGAUGGCAGAUUAGGUAGUUGGUGGGUUAAAAGCUUACCAAGCCGACGAUCUGUAGCUGGUCUGAGAGGACGACCAGCCACACUGGGACUGAGACACGGCCCAGACUCCUACGGGAGGCAGCAGUGGGGAAUUUUGGACAAUGGGCGAAAGCCUGAUCCAGCCAUGCCGCGUGCAGGAUGAAGGCCUUCGGGUUGUAAACUGCUUUUGUACGGAACGAAAAGACUCUUUCUAAUAAAGAGGGUCCAUGACGGUACCGUAAGAAUAAGCACCGGCUAACUACGUG
This 482-nucleotide ribosomal RNA is filed under the name uncultured bacterium. Its description in RNAcentral is "partial 16S ribosomal RNA". It matches the Rfam family "Bacterial small subunit ribosomal RNA", at positions 30 to 507 of the family's 1533-position model. The record is from RNAcentral.